This 347-nucleotide ribosomal RNA is filed under the name Pseudomonas fragi. Its description in RNAcentral is "bacterial SSU rRNA". It matches the Rfam family "Bacterial small subunit ribosomal RNA", at positions 76 to 427 of the family's 1533-position model. Lineage: Bacteria; Pseudomonadati; Pseudomonadota; Gammaproteobacteria; Pseudomonadales; Pseudomonadaceae. The record is from RNAcentral.
GAGCUUGCUUCUCUUGAGAGCGGCGGACGGGUGAGUAAUACCUAGGAAUCUGCCUGAUAGUGGGGGAUAACGUUCGGAAACGGACGCUAAUACCGCAUACGUCCUACGGGAGAAAGCAGGGGACCUUCGGGCCUUGCGCUAUCAGAUGAGCCUAGGUCGGAUUAGCUAGUUGGUGAGGUAAUGGCUCACCAAGGCUACGAUCCGUAACUGGUCUGAGAGGAUGAUCAGUCACACUGGAACUGAGACACGGUCCAGACUCCUACGGGAGGCAGCAGUGGGGAAUAUUGGACAAUGGGCGAAAGCCUGAUCCAGCCAUGCCGCGUGUGUGAAGAAGUCUUCGGAUUGUA